This 254-nucleotide ribosomal RNA is filed under the name uncultured bacterium. RNAcentral describes it as "partial 16S ribosomal RNA". It matches the Rfam family "Bacterial small subunit ribosomal RNA", at positions 524 to 776 of the family's 1533-position model. The record is from RNAcentral.
UACGUAGGGUCCAAGCGUUGUCCGGAUUUAUUGGGCGUAAAGAGCUCGUAGGCGGUUUCGUAAGUCGGAUGUGAAAACUCAGGGCUCAACCCGGAGACGCCAUCUGAUACUGCGAUGACUUGAGUCUGGUAGGGGAUCACGGAAUUCCUGGUGUAGCGGUGAAAUGCGCAGAUAUCAGGAGGAACACCGAUGGCGAAGGCAGUGAUCUGGGCCAGUACUGACGCUGAGGAGCGAAAGCGUGGGGAGCAAACAGG